AUUAAAAAGGUCAAGACUUAUUAGCGAUGGCUUUUUUUAUUAUUAACGAUGGUAAUGCCAUUGCUAUAAAUUUAAUUUUAAAUAAUUAGUAUUAGUGAUGGCUUUAGCGAUACAAAUUAACCAUCGCUAAUAUUCUACUCUCAAAAUCGCCCCUAUCCCCGACCGUUUGGUUUUAUUCUCCACCGCCUCCCCCUUCUUCCCCCACCUUCGGUCCCCUUUCUUCCUCCGCCGCACCACCAAAGCCCCUGUCCCCAUGCCCCA
This 261-nucleotide long non-coding RNA is filed under the name Elaeis guineensis (African oil palm). RNAcentral's name for it is "long non-coding RNA (EGUI_LNC034703)". Lineage: Eukaryota; Viridiplantae; Streptophyta; Magnoliopsida; Arecales; Arecaceae. The record is from RNAcentral.